RNAcentral lists this ribosomal RNA (119 nucleotides) under Helianthus annuus (common sunflower). The record is from RNAcentral. Lineage: Eukaryota; Viridiplantae; Streptophyta; Magnoliopsida; Asterales; Asteraceae.
GGUUGCGAUCAUACCAGCACUAAUGCACCGGAUCCCAUCAGAACUCCGCAGUUAAGCGAGCUCGGGCGAGAGUAGUACUAGGAUGGGUGACCCCCUGGGAAGUCCUCGUGUUGCAACCC